CCGGAGCCCGCGGGGGCGGCAGAGACCCGCCCCGGCCCGCAGGACACCCCCUCGGAACGCGCGGCCCCCGGCUAAGUCAUGUUUAACAGCCUCAGAAAUUAUCUUGUCUCCGCGUUCUUUCUUCUGCCGGCGAGCCAGUGUCAUUUGUGGAUUAUUAAAGAAACCUCUCCAUACCUGAUGCAUAAAGUUUUAGGCACUGGUGAUAGAGCAGUGAACAAAGCAGUUUCUGCCCUCAUGGAGCUUACAUCCUAAUGAGAGAGCCUGAUAACAAGCAAGUAGCUGAAAUACAACAUCAUAAUUUUUACUGGAAAAUAGCCACAAUGAAGGAACACCACAAUUUCACCAUGAAAACCAGCACAACCUUACACAGAUGACAAACAUUUCCCCUCAAAACUUGUUAAACUGUAUUUGGGCUGACCAAAUUAACCAGAGUUAUU
Molecule: long non-coding RNA, 437 nt
Filed under: Homo sapiens (human)
Lineage: Eukaryota; Metazoa; Chordata; Mammalia; Primates; Hominidae
Description: HSALNT0343372
Source: RNAcentral